AAGUUCGCGCCAUCAGUAAAAGGAGUUGCAGCCACUGCUCAUUUCAAUGACCUGCACCACAUAAUCCCUUGGAGGACUGCACGCAUCUUCACUUCAAAUUACACCUAUUUCUUCCUUGUCAGCCCAGGCCGCAUGUUCUUACGCCUCUACUUCUGUCCGGGUGAGUACUAUGACGACCAUGGAGACUAUGCUAUCUCCAAUGCCUUCUUCGGUGUCACGACAGGAAAUCUUGUCCUCUUAAAUGAUUUUAAUGUUUCACAAACAGCACAGGAUAUCAGUUUUGCCUACCUUGUGCGUGAAUUCUCAGUGAACGUUUCUUCAGGCAGCUUGGACCUCACCUUUGCCCCAUCAGCACAUCGGAAUGGUUCUUAUGCAUUUGUGAGUGGCAUUGAGAUUGUGCCCAUCAGCACGUCGGAAUGGUUCUUAUGCAUUUGU
RNAcentral lists this long non-coding RNA (435 nucleotides) under Hordeum vulgare. Its description in RNAcentral is "long non-coding RNA (HVUL_LNC010541)". Lineage: Eukaryota; Viridiplantae; Streptophyta; Magnoliopsida; Poales; Poaceae. The record is from RNAcentral.